RNAcentral lists this small nuclear RNA (23 nucleotides) under Arabidopsis thaliana (thale cress). RNAcentral's name for it is "snRNA_12751". The record is from RNAcentral. Lineage: Eukaryota; Viridiplantae; Streptophyta; Magnoliopsida; Brassicales; Brassicaceae.
AAGCUAGUGACAGCCAUUGUAAA